RNAcentral lists this ribosomal RNA (484 nucleotides) under uncultured bacterium. Its description in RNAcentral is "bacterial SSU rRNA". It matches the Rfam family "Bacterial small subunit ribosomal RNA", at positions 29 to 507 of the family's 1533-position model. The record is from RNAcentral.
AUUGAACGCUGGCGGCAUGCCUUACACAUGCAAGUCGAACGGCAGCGCGGGAGCAAUCCUGGCGGCGAGUGGCGAACGGGUGAGUAAUAUAUCGGAACGUGCCCAGUAGUGGGGGAUAGCCCGGCGAAAGCCGGAUUAAUACCGCAUGAGACCUGAGGGUGAAAGCGGGGGAUCGCAAGACCUCGCGCUAUUGGAGCGGCCGAUAUCAGAUUAGCUAGUUGGUGGGGUAAAGGCCUACCAAGGCAACGAUCUGUAGUUGGUCUGAGAGGACGAUCAGCCACACUGGGACUGAGACACGGCCCAGACUCCUACGGGAGGCAGCAGUGGGGAAUAUUGGACAAUGGGGGAAACCCUGAUCCAGCAAUGCCGCGUGUGUGAAGAAGGCCUGCGGGUUGUAAAGCACUUUUGGCAGGGAAGAAAAGCACUGGCCGAAUACGCCAGUGUGUUGACGUAACCUGCAGAAGAAGCACCGGCUAACUCUGUG